This 516-nucleotide ribosomal RNA is filed under the name uncultured Gammaproteobacteria bacterium. Its description in RNAcentral is "bacterial SSU rRNA". It matches the Rfam family "Bacterial small subunit ribosomal RNA", at positions 9 to 521 of the family's 1533-position model. Lineage: Bacteria; Pseudomonadati; Pseudomonadota; Gammaproteobacteria. The record is from RNAcentral.
GAGUUUGAUCCUGGCUCAGAUUGAACGCUGGCGGCGUGCUUAACACAUGCAAGUCGAGCGGCAGCGCGGGGGCAACCCUGGCGGCGAGCGGCGAACGGGUGAGUAAUGCUUCGGAAUCUUCCUCGUAGUGGGGAACAACCUGGGGAAACUCAGGCUAAUACCGCAUACGAACUACGGUUGAAAGCAGGGGAUCGCAAGACCUUGCGCUAUGAGAUGAGCCGAAGUCGGAUUAGCUAGUUGGUGGGGUAACGGCCUACCAAGGCGACGAUCCGUAGCUGGUCUGAGAGGACGACCAGCCACACUGGGACUGAGACACGGCCCAGACUCCUACGGGAGGCAGCAGUGGGGAAUAUUGGACAAUGGGCGAAAGCCUGAUCCAGCGACGCCGCGUGUGUGAAGAAGGCCUGCGGGUUGUAAAGCACUUUUAGUGGGGAUGGAAAAGCCAAGGGCUAAUACCCUUUGGUCUUGACCUAACCCAAGAAAAGCACCGGCUAACUCUGUGCCAGCCGCCGCCGU